Molecule: transfer RNA, 73 nt
Filed under: Candidatus Berkelbacteria bacterium
Lineage: Bacteria; Candidatus Berkelbacteria
Description: tRNA-Arg
Rfam family: tRNA
About the family: Transfer RNA (tRNA) molecules are approximately 80 nucleotides in length.
Source: RNAcentral
GCCCUCGUAGCUCAGUAGAAAGAGCAGCUUCGUCCUAAGAAGAUGGUCGCAGGUGCAACUCCUGCCGGGGGCA